UGGAUGGAAUUAUCAGUGACAUGGGAAGGGGAAAAAAUAUUUAGUGUGGAGUGACAAGUUGUUUUUGUGUACAUAUCGCUUCUGUGCCAACAUAAUGGCUAAAAACCUCACAUAACAGCAGAUAUUUAUCAGUGGCAUUGGGAAAUUGGGUUGUGAUCUCACUCAUCUCAUCUACAUUUCAGUUACAGUGCUGCUUGUGUGAGACAGAUGAUGUUGAGAAGAAAUGUACAUUUAUGCAUGCCAGUCAAGCUGCUAGGAUACCAACUGGUUGCUUCUUGAGAGAGGGGACUUUAUGCUGCUGAAUUGUUCAUCUGGCAUCUGGCCAUUUUUUCUUUUUUAAAAAAGAGAGAGAAGUCUUCUGAUAGGGCAAGGGGAACUUGUAACAAGGGUGCUGGUUCUGCAGGGAGUGCCAAGGACCCUCUACCUUGCCACCAUUUCUGAGAGCGAUCCUGGUUCCUUUCCAUUCCAGUCAUGCUAGAAUGGUGGGGGGCAUGGAGGGAGCUAAUAUGCAUGUAGCUCAAAAUGCCAGGUCAAAACGUCCUUUUUGUGGUGUCCCAGCAGUCUCAAACAAAGAUGUCUUCCUUUGCCUCUAUGGAACAAAAUGUCCCAGCAAGUCCCCUGCGCCUAUUUGGAGAAGGGGGAAACCAGUGUCUGGAUCUUGCGUUCAUCUGAUCUCAGCAUAAGAGGUAUAUUUCUAGGUUCUUUGCUUUAUUCCUCACAGUAUUUGCAUCCAUUAUCCUUACUGAAGGAUUGGUCACCAUUUCCUUGUCUUUCACAUGGCAGUGUUCCCCAACCAUCAGUUAGGAACUACUGUGCUAAGAUUAAUACUAAGUAUUAAUACAGAAUAAUACUAUGAAAGUUCUGUCAAAAUGUGUACUGCCUACUUUUAUCAUUGAGGAAAAAGCAAGGUUUCUAACAGGUUGAUCUCAGUCAAGAACAGGGUGCUUUUUUUAAAAAAAAAGUUCAGUUUCUUUUGAAAACAUUUAAAAUGGAUUUCAUUUGGCAAGGAUGCACCACAUUUAGCUUUUAAGUCUCAGGAAUCAUAGAAGCAUCAAUAUACUGUAUAUUGAAAACCUGCAAAAUUUCCUGCAGUUGUGAACUAACUUUGGUUCAUUAGAUAAUAGCUUAUACAAGCCAUGUAUUGUUUUUGAGCAACUUCAAGGCUUUUGGAUACUUGUUCCUAAAUUGCUGGAUAGAGAUUGGCUCAGCAUGCACAGCCUUAUGCAAAUGUUGAAGAAGCUUGCCUCAAGUGACAGGCAAUGACUUUGAAGGAGCUUGCUUUUGGCAAGCCAAAGGAGUGGCCCAGGUGGCUCUUUUGGCUGUGGUUUAAUAAGCUACACUCCAUGUUUCCUUUACUAUCUCAAUCAUCCCCACUUCAGAAGUGGGUAGAUGGCUAUCACAUCUUCCUAUUCACUGAUCUUAUAAAUAUGCACAACUUUUUAAUUUCUUUUUUGUCAAUCAUUUCUCUCAACCUUCCAGGCUUGAUUAUGUUGUGACUGCAGGUACCAAGUCAGACAGCAGCUCAGCUGACUUCUGUCCUUUAAUAGUUCGAGUUGUCUGUGCAGUGUUGGUGGUUUAGUUCAGCAGGUUAAGAGCUUGGAUUGUCACCUGGUUUGACAGAGAGGGGCAUACAUAUGGGAUCUGGGGCUUGGAUUUGCUGCUUGCUUUAGUUUUCUGAAGCAACACCCCUCCAUACACCCCCCCCAAAGAAAAUUCCCACUUCAUAACCUUGAAAAGGUAUGCCUUUUCUAGACUGCUACUAGAAAAAUGAGCUUUUAGGCCCACCAGACAGACUAUUAACCUCCUGUCAUCUUUGGCUUGUCAGGAGCCCUGCUGCAUCUUCAUUUAUUUGUUCAGCACUAUGUCUUUUUUUGAGCUUGGUUAAAAGGAGCAUGACUCUCAAUAUACUUGGUCACAUUUUCUUUUGAGAGGUGCCUCUUUCAAGCUAGAGAGCUCCACACUGCAUCGUUAGAUGAGAACAGAAAUGAAGUUAAUACCAGCUUUCUACCAUGGCUGAGCUUUCUGUUAUAAACAAACCUCCCGAAUUUCUGAUAACUCUGAAGGAUCAUAAGACUUGCUGCUAGCUACUAGAGAAUUGUUGACACGCUUUAAAAACAAAAAGUUCCAACCUUUGAAAUAGAAGUAAAUGCAAUCCUAUACACACUUAUCUGAGAGUAAAGUCAUGCUGAAGUCAAUGUAACUACCUUCUAAGUAGACAUAUAUAGGAUUGCAGUGAUAUAUACUUAAUGCAGAGAUGAGGCAUCCCAGAAUUUAUUGGGCUGCAGCUGAAAGACCACUUGCCAUUGUGUAGACCUGUAAGAUCACUUAAAUUGGGUAAAUUCUACCUUUUCAGAUCCAGGUCCCACUUUUAACCCAAGCAUGCAUUUAGGAACCAAUGGUGGUAGCGCUCCUGUUGUAACCUUGGGUCAGGCAGCAAUCCACUAGUGGGUCUUAGGACCAGUGACUUAGAUCAUCUGGGGAAAUUCUUCUCAUGGCACUGCACCCUACAAAAUAUAAAUUUGUUUCUCAAAUCCCCCUUCCCAUUUUUCUAUUUUAAAAAUGUUUAAAAUUAUUUUGCUGCCCUCCAACAAUUUAAAAUCCAUUUUGAAUUUUUUAACUGACUACUGCCAUAGGCAUCCCACUGUGUUGUUAAUUGUUUUUGUGCCCCCAAGCCCGCCCCCAUUGUCUGCUUUUAGUGUUUUAAAAAAACACGAUAUAGAUUUAUUGACCAGUCUCACAGGUUACCUAUUGCGAUUAUGUGAUACCAAACGUUUUAGAGACUCAACCAGAGGCCCUUCUUUAAAAAUUAAAGGUGGAAAGGUAAGGGUGGAAACAAAAACUUAAAAAUUAAAACAAAAAUCAGAAUAUUUUAGUUUGCUUCAGAAAGUAUUUAAGACUGCAGUCCACAGCUUUCCAAAGGCAACUACAAAAAACCCACUGAUUUGAAUGGAAUUCAGUGGUCCGUCAUGAACAAUAAAUAAAACCCCAGAGGCAUUUUAGAUUCCUAGAUACAGAAUAUGAGCAAAUGCUUUCAAAAUGUAAUUUGAAGAUUUAACCCAGUGUUUCUCAAGUUCCAUAAUAUGAAAGUACUGGUAUUUUUCCUCGUAAUAAUAAACUGCUUGAGUUACAUAAACAGAAGUGAAGAUAAAAAUAAGCUCCCUUUAAUGUGACAGGUGCUGCUGCACAGUUACAUCCCAUAUUUGUACACAGCCUGUUUAUUUACUCCUUUGUUCUUGAGUUAGAAAACUUUGAAAAAGAACAUCAGUCGCUGCUGAUCUGAUCUCCAUUGAUGUGUAAUAAUAAAUAAAUGGGGAUUUGAAAUCUACAGUGAAAUGUAAUGCUGCUUCCUCCUAUUUAUUAUAAAGCAUAGAAAACUAAUAAUGGUCCUGGACUCUUAGCCAUUAUUCUUCUGAACCUUCGUUUGCCACUGCAUAACAAUUGGGAAAGGCAGCAAUUCAUGUUUUCUAAGGCUUAAUUUGCAUUUGCAUUACAUUCUCAGUGCAUCAGAAUGUGCCACUGUAAAGCAUAAGCAGGAGAUAAUCAUUGGGUGUCGAUUUUGUGCACCAGAGAAAUUGCCCUUGAAUGUAAUACUUAUUAGCAUCUCAGUAAAUAUGAAUGGCAUUAGAGGAAAUGUUGAAACUCUGAAAUUGGCACAUUUUUUCCUAAGUAACUUCAACAAUGUCAUGUUCUAUUUAUUUGCUUGCUUUUUAAUAUGCACAAAUGAGGAGAAGACAAAAUGCAGUUAAUGCGGAAUGAAAUGCAGAUUUUGUAAUAAGAUAGGGAGCACAUCUUUUGGGAGAAGUCGUGUAGGUAGGGGGUGAGUGGAACCCUCAAGGAAGAAAUAGGAUAUAAUUUGGAAGGUCAGAACUCCUCAAGUCUUCCGGUGAACAUGCAAAGAAGCAGGCUGGAGCGCUUCCUUUAAGAGUAUGCAUCACCAAAAGAAUACACAUUCCUGUUUAUUCUUUUGCUUAUGUUUCUGCUUGUGCCCCGUCCCCCAAAUAAAUAAAUAAAUGGCACAGAAACAAAUUGGAACAAAUAUGGUACACUAAGAUCACAUCCACGCUGUACAUUUAAAACACUUUGUAUCACUUUAACAGCUGUGGCGUUUCACAGUAUUGGGAACUGUAGUUUGUUAAGGGUGCUGGGAUUGUAGCUCUGUUACAAGCAAUUCCUGAGAUUCUUUGCAGGAAGCAAUGACUGUUAAAUGCAUGGUGUGAAUGUGAUCUAAGAGACAAAGCAAUGCAAGAGUAUAAUGUGGGUACACCCCAGGACCUAUUCUAGACCAAGCAGACUGAGGUCUUUGAAGAAGCUUUUCUGUUUCUGUGCAUGCUAUGUUUAGAGUUCUCCUGCAAAAGUCUAAGGAGGCUUCCAAGUGUUGUGGAACACUCUGGCUUGAGGAGAAUUGGAUAGGCUUCUGACAAUUCUCCUGAAAUUUCCAAAUUCAUAAAAUUAGGAACAUAGGAGGCUGCCUCGUACUAAGCUGGGUCAUUAAUCCAUCUAGCACAAUACUGUCAGCACUGACCGAUAGGGAUGGGGAAGAAAUUCAGUUCAGUUUGUAUUUAAAAGGGAACCUACCAGAUUUACACUUCCCGAAACAAUACACAAACCAAAACACAGCUAGCCUUCAGAAUUCAUACAUAGCUAAGUUUUGCAGUUCAGUUCUCCCCUAAUGCAUGAAUUAGGGGAGAUUCCUUGCAAAAGUAUGUAUGUUAGCCAAAACAGCACACAAAAAUGUGUUGAUAAGGAGAAAGUCACACUAAAAUGUUGAAUUUUCUUGAGUAUUUAAAAACACACACACGCCACAUAUUGCUACAGAAAUGGGGAUAAUGGGAUUUAAGAUUGGUAAAAUGAGAAACUAAGAUAACUGAGAAAGGCAGAUCCCUCCAUCUAUACUGACCGGCAGCAGCCCUUUGGCAAUAGCCCUACCUGGAGAUACCAGAGAUUCAGCCUAGAUCCUUUUGCUCUCCCACCAAGCUCUGGCCCCUUCUGGGUUUUGGCCACCCUUACCUGUAAAGCAACAUGGCAAACUGGCUAUGCAGUUAUGCUAGUCACUUUUCAAAGUAUGGUAUAGAAUCCCAUGCAGACACAAUAUAUGUAGUUGCCAUACACUGAGUCUCAGACUGAUUCCAUCUAGCCCUCUUCUGUCUAAACAGACAGAAUACCUUUCCAGGGAACCUCAGUCCCCGCCCCCCAGCCUUCCUGCAUAAGGUCUUUUAACUGGAGAUGCAAGGGGUUUUAGUCUAUUUAUGUCUUUAUGUGGAAAUAAUUCUAUUCCACUGAACUGAUUCACAACAUAAAGAAACACAUUAAAAAUCAUAUCAUAUAUAAAGGAAAAAUACCACCAGAGUGAGUGGUCGGAGAAUGCCCUGGGAAGAGAUGUGUCUUAUACAAAGACCUGAAGCAUCUUCCCAUUGGUGCUUCCCUGAAUAAUGUUCUCUGCAUGCAAAUCUUGUGCUCUGCCACUGAUAUAUGGUCCUUCCCUAUUGAAAGGUAUAAUUACAUAUCACUCUUAGAGAGGCUCUUGGGGGCUCAGCUGGAACUUAGUGCUUAAAUGAUGAGUGUGAACAUUAAUAGGGAAGGUUACCUGAUGCAGAAAGAUGAUAGGAGCUUCUUUGAUGAGCACAGCAGUGCUUUCAAAAUAUAACUCAUGAUUUAGUAUAUCAGGGUAACUGUAUGAACACUAUUAAAAACUGAAUAGCCAAAGAGCUGAUGUCUCCCUCCCGGCAUGCAUACCUCGCAAGCUAAAUCAGAUGAAGAGCAGCCACUGAGGGGCCUUGGCCUUGGUUAUGGCACUCCCUUCUGUCAAUGGCAAAAUAUGGAUUGCCUUCAGUGGCGGGAACCUUGAGCAUCCCUUAUCAUAAUUCAUCCCUUAUUUACAUCCACAAGAAGAUCUUCCCUAAACUCUCAGGCUCCCUUGAAAGCCCUUGGCCUGUGAUAAUGGUAAUGGUGGCAUCCUUGUUAUUGACAUUAAACAUCCGUGACAGCUGCAAACUGAGAGUCUGUUGGUUUUCAAUUAAAGCCUCAACAUAAUGAUUCCAAUUCCAAUCAUCACAGGAGGACAAUACAAUACUUCGCUAAUGCAGAUGAAAGGGUUUUUUUGCUUUGUUUUUCCGUCUAUCGAUUUUUCCAUAGCCCAUCUCUUUCAAUGGCUUGCCAUGAAUUGGGACGUGAUGGUACAGUGAAUGUUGACGCACAUGGAGCAGCCACUAAGAGCUGGUUCAGGCAUUCAUUCAUUCAUUUAUAAAAAGCUUUUAAGAGCAAAUGUAUGACAAGCCAACAUUUGCAGUUUAUAUUACAUAUAGGGGACCUCAUGCCUGGGGGCCAAAUGUGGCCCUCCAAACUUGUCUGUCUGGUCACACCCCUGCCACACCACCUGCUGGCCCUGCUAAUAACCCUCCUUGUGUGUGCUUGCCUCACUGGAAUACAUCCUUUAGCACAGAUAAUGCCUCUUGCUUUUUUUAAAAAUAAUAUUUAUUAAUUUUCCAACCGUUU
This is a non-coding RNA of Podarcis lilfordi (Lilford's wall lizard), 6492 nucleotides long. NCBI's taxonomy places the organism in Eukaryota, Metazoa, Chordata, Lepidosauria, Squamata, Lacertidae. The record is from the annotation of a GenBank genome assembly.